This 426-nucleotide ribosomal RNA is filed under the name uncultured bacterium. RNAcentral describes it as "bacterial SSU rRNA". It matches the Rfam family "Bacterial small subunit ribosomal RNA", at positions 355 to 773 of the family's 1533-position model. The record is from RNAcentral.
UGGGGAAUAUUGGACAAUGGGCGCAAGCCUGAUCCAGCAAUGCCGCGUGUGUGAAGAAGGCCUUCGGGUUGUAAAGCACUUUUAUCAGGAGCGAAAUGCCAUUGGUUAAUACCCGGUGGAGCUGACGGUACCUGAGGAAUAAGCACCGGCUAACUUCGUGCCAGCAGCCGCGGUAAUACGAAGGGUGCAAGCGUUAAUCGGAAUUACUGGGCGUAAAGCGUGCGUAGGCGGUUUUUUAAGUCUGCUGUGAAAUCCCCGGGCUCAACCUGGGAAUGGCUGUGGAUACUGGAAAGCUAGAGUGUGUCAGAGGAUGGUGGAAUUCCCGGUGUAGCGGUGAAAUGCGUAGAGAUCGGGAGGAACAUCAGUGGCGAAGGCGGCCAUCUGGGACAACACUGACGCUGAGGCACGAAAGCGUGGGGAGCAAAC